UAGGGAAUCUUCCACAAUGGACGAAAGUCUGAUGGAGCAACGCCGCGUGAGUGAUGAAGGCCUUCGGGUCGUAAAGCUCUGUUGCCAGGGAAGAACGCUCAGGAGAGUAACUGCUCCUGAGGUGACGGUACCUGAGAAGAAAGCCCCGGCUAACUACGUGCCAGCAGCCGCGGUAAUACGUAGGGGGCAAGCGUUGUCCGGAAUUAUUGGGCGUAAAGCGCGCGCAGGCGGUUCAUUAAGUCUGGUGUUUAAGGCAAUGGCUCAACCAUUGUUCGCACCGGAAACUGGUGGACUUGAGUGUAGGAGAGGAAAGUGGAAUUCCACGUGUAGCGGUGAAAUGCGUAGAGAUGUGGAGGAACACCAGUGGCGAAGGCGACUUUCUGGCCUAUAACUGACGCUGAGGCGCGAAAGCGUGGGGAGCAAACA
This 426-nucleotide ribosomal RNA is filed under the name uncultured Paenibacillus sp. RNAcentral's name for it is "bacterial SSU rRNA". It matches the Rfam family "Bacterial small subunit ribosomal RNA", at positions 355 to 774 of the family's 1533-position model. The record is from RNAcentral. Lineage: Bacteria; Bacillati; Bacillota; Bacilli; Caryophanales; Paenibacillaceae.